AAAAACAUCGCCUCUUGCAAAAUUAACGAAUAAGAGGUCCUGCCUGCCCUGUGACCAUGUGUUCAACGGCCGCGGUAUUUUGACCGUGCAAAGGUAGCGUAAUCACUUGUCUUUUAAAUGAAGACCCGUAUGAAUGGCAAGACGAGGGCUUAGCUGUCUCCUUUUUCAAGUCAAUGAAAUUGAUCUUCCCGUGCAGAAGCGGGAAUUACUACAUAAGACGAGAAGACCCUAUGGAGCUUUAGACACCAAGACAGCCCGCGUCAAAACUCCCUAAUGAAGGACUGAACUAAGUGGACCCUGUCCUAAUGUCUUUGGUUGGGGCGACCACGGGGAAAUACAAAACCCCCGCGUGGACUGGGAGCACCCCUACUCCUACAACUAAGAGCAUCCGCUCUAAUAAACAGAAUUUCUGACCAGCAAGAUCCGGCAACGCCGAUCAACGAACCCAGUUACCCUAGGGAUAACAGCGCAAUCCUCUUUUAGAGCCCAUAUCGACAAGAGGGUUUACGACCUCGAUGUUGGAUCAGGACAUCCUAAUGGUGCAGCCGCUAUUAAGGGUUCGUUUGUUCAACGAUUAAAGUCCUACGUGAUCU
This 593-nucleotide ribosomal RNA is filed under the name Micropogonias megalops (bigeye croaker). RNAcentral describes it as "partial 16S ribosomal RNA". It matches the Rfam family "Bacterial large subunit ribosomal RNA", at positions 1809 to 2606 of the family's 2925-position model. Lineage: Eukaryota; Metazoa; Chordata; Actinopteri; Sciaenidae. The record is from RNAcentral.